CCUACGGGUGGCAGCAGUGAGGAAUAUUGGUCAAUGGGCGCGAGCCUGAACCAGCCAAGUAGCGUGAAGGAUGACUGCCCUACGGGUUGUAAACUUCUUUUAUAAAGGAGUAAAGUGAGGCACGUGUGCCUUUUUGUAUGUACUUUAUGAAUAAGGCUCGGCUAACUCCGUGCCAGUAGCCGCGGUAAUACGGGGGUUCCGAGCGUUAUCCGGAUUUAUUGGGGUUAAAGGGAGCGUAGAUGGGUGGUUAAGUCAGUUGUGAAAGUUUGGGGGUCAACCGUAAAAUUGCAAUUGAUACUGGCAGUCUUGAGUACAGGAGAGGUAGGCGGAAUGCGUGGUGUAGCGGUGAAAUGCUUAGAUAUCACGAAGAACUCCGAUUGCGAAGGCAGCUUACUAAACUGCCACUGACAUUGAUGCUCGAAAGUGUGGGUAUCAAACAGGAUUAGAGACCCCAGUAGUC
Molecule: ribosomal RNA, 460 nt
Filed under: uncultured bacterium
Lineage: Bacteria
Description: partial 16S ribosomal RNA
Rfam family: Bacterial small subunit ribosomal RNA
Source: RNAcentral